GUUCCCAUUCCGAACACAGAAGUUAAGCCCACCAGCGCCGAUGGUACUACGAAAGUGGGAGAGUAGGUCGCCGCCAGUU
Molecule: ribosomal RNA, 79 nt
Filed under: Riemerella anatipestifer
Lineage: Bacteria; Pseudomonadati; Bacteroidota; Flavobacteriia; Flavobacteriales; Weeksellaceae
Source: RNAcentral